Long non-coding RNA from Bolinopsis microptera, 681 nucleotides. RefSeq lists it as uncharacterized. Lineage: Eukaryota; Metazoa; Ctenophora; Tentaculata; Lobata; Bolinopsidae. The transcript is spliced from 2 exons. The record is from RefSeq and is a predicted model, not a curated record.
UCUGCAUCAGGAUAAUGGCUGUACAGACUGUCCGGCAGAUCAUUGGAGUUUAGCAGCAAACACAGCUGCUACCUGCACUGCCUGUCCAGCUAGAAAAGAGGUAGACUCUGGAAAAGGAACACAAGAAAAUGACUGCACAUGGAAUGAGCCGGUUUUGGGAGUUGGUGUAAAAUUAGGACCUGGAAUUUUGACUAUCCUGCUCCUGAUGCAGGUUCUGCUGUAGCACAAUUAUAAGGUUUGUCAAGAUGACUAUAUCGUGAACUGAGCUAUCGUUAGCUAUUGUAAAUAGACUAAUGGUUAUGAACUAAAGAGAGUUGUUUAUUGGGAAAUAUUUGAAUAAUAUUCAAAUAAUUGCAGAAAGUGAGGUGAUUUUCUUUAGGUUAACAAAAAUUAUGAUUUAUAUCACAGUUUAAACAUUAUAUAAUGAUAUAAUAUUUUAACAGAUAUAUUAAGUAGAGUUAAACUAAAACGAGGUUUUAUAAAUGUUUUUGAUGUGGUGUAUGGUAUGUUAGUGAUAGAAAUAAUUUAUUUUCUAUUUCAAACGCGCUGCAUUGAUUAAUUAAUACAACAGUGUAAACUAUUAUGAUAUAUAAUUGUGUUACAAAUUUGUAUUAUAAUCGUGUAUUUGACCAGUACAAUUACAAAGUAACUUUAUAGAGAUAUUACGUUUUAAAGAAUGCA